UGCGCGCGCGCGCCUUGCAUUGCAGGCCGGGAGUCCGGGGAGAGGGUGCGCGCGCACCCCCUGGCUCGGGCUGACGGAUGGGGGCGUGGUGGUGAGGACGGUGUGCGACAUUACACCAGGUAGGUGGCGCUGCUGAGUGAGCGGAGGUUGAAGAGUGGACGAGCUGUGUGUACUUCUCCGUAUAGAGGGGAGCAGAGAGUCUGCACACAUAACAGUCACCCGGGGGGAUUCAAUGUGCAACAGGCGCCGGAGGAGGGAAAACAAGGAGAGGGCUCUACAUCGUCCUCCUCCCCUGGAGGAAGCCGGGAGCGUACACCUCCCUGGGGGAAGAACUGAGAUCAAGUGAUAUUGACAGCACCAUCAGUGAAGAAAGGUCUGAGGGGAAGAUCUCGGGGGGG
Rana temporaria (common frog) is the source of this 398-nucleotide long non-coding RNA. RefSeq lists it as uncharacterized. NCBI's taxonomy places the organism in Eukaryota, Metazoa, Chordata, Amphibia, Anura, Ranidae. The record is from RefSeq and is a predicted model, not a curated record. The transcript is spliced from 2 exons.